This 542-nucleotide ribosomal RNA is filed under the name uncultured Bacteroidales bacterium. RNAcentral's name for it is "bacterial SSU rRNA". It matches the Rfam family "Bacterial small subunit ribosomal RNA", at positions 44 to 574 of the family's 1533-position model. The record is from RNAcentral. Lineage: Bacteria; Pseudomonadati; Bacteroidota; Bacteroidia; Bacteroidales.
AGGCUUAACACAUGCANAGUCGAGGGGCAGCAUGGUCUUAGCUUGCUAAGGCCGAUGGCGACCGGCGCACGGGUGAGUAACACGUAUCCAACCUGCCGUCUACUCUUGGACAGCCUUCUGAAAGGAAGAUUAAUACAGGAUGGCAUCAUGAGUCCGCAUGUUCACAUGAUUAAAGGUAUUCCGGUAGACGAUGGGGAUGCGUUCCAUUAGAUAGUAGGCGGGGUAACGGCCCACCUAGUCUUCGAUGGAUAGGGGUUCUGAGAGGAAGGUCCCCCACAUUGGAACUGAGACACGGUCCAAACUCCUACGGGAGGCAGCAGUGAGGAAUAUUGGUCAAUGGGCGAGAGCCUGAACCAGCCAAGUAGCGUGAAGGAUGACUGCCCUAUGGGUUGUAAACUUCUUUUAUAAAGGAAUAAAGUCGGGUAUGGAUACCCGUUUGCAUGUACUUUAUGAAUAAGGAUCGGCUAACUCCGUGCCAGCAGCCGCGGUAAUACGGAGGAUCCGAGCGUUAUCCGGAUUUAUUGGGUUUAAAGGGAGCGUAG